UACAGAGGGGGCAAGCGUUAUUCGGAUUCACUGGGCGUAAAGGGUGCGCAGGCGGCCAAGUGUGUGAGGCGUGAAAGCCUGGGGCUUAACUCCAGAAUUGCACCUCAAACUACAUGGCUAGAGCAUUGGAGAGGGUAGCAGAAUUCACGGUGUAGCAGUGAAAUGCGUAGAUAUCGUGAGGAAUACCAGAGGCGAAGGCGGCUACCUGGACAAUUGCUGACGCUCAGGCACGAAAGCGUGGGGAGCAAAAGGG
Molecule: ribosomal RNA, 253 nt
Filed under: uncultured bacterium
Lineage: Bacteria
Description: partial 16S ribosomal RNA
Rfam family: Bacterial small subunit ribosomal RNA
Source: RNAcentral